UUUCUUUAUAAACCUGAUAUUUGCAUGGUUUUCCACCAUCUUUAUAUUUUGUUUAUAAUCAUUUACGGGUUUUUAAGGGAGUUUAGAUUUUUACUUUAUUUGUUAAGCUACCAUACCUCAUGUUUGAUUCUGGUUCUGGUUAUGAAUGAGUGAGGAACCCCAUAUUUCCUAUGGUUUAAUAUAUUUCAAAGAUAUUUUAAAUUUAUUAUAUGGUUAUGCUAGCCUAGCAGUCUUAUUAAUAAAUUUAUGGAACAGGUUAUAGUUUUAUUUUAUUGCUUUUCAGGGGAUGUUAUCUAGUGUGUACAUCUUUGCUUGUUUACAUGAAUCUUGAAUUUGGGUGGCUUGCCAGCAUUGUUACCACUAAUGACAGUCUGCCGUAGCUCUUUGUGUGGGUGCAGGCAGCUAUUAAUGUUUAAUUCCAGUCUACAUUUAUCUAAGACCUGUGUCAGCUUUUCUCAUUCUUGCCUCAAUAACCAGCCAGUAACUGAUAUAACCACCCGACACCCACUAACAGCGUUCCCAUGCUGCCUCAGUGUUCUCCGCUUUCUUGUCCAUCCGGGACGCUGGGUCGAAAUACCCUUGUCCUUGAUUUUUUUUUUUCAACAAGCUUGCCAUAUAAAAUGUGAUUUCCCGAAGCUGCAAUCGAGAUAAAAAUUUCAAUUUUUACACCUGAUAAAUGUUUUUGUCUUUUUGUAAACGAAAGGUAAGAUUAAACAACAGAAAGAAUGUGGGUUGGGUUAUAGUCAAACGCAUCAACCUUGGACAGCCUGCGAUGAUUCAUUGUCUCCAGAAAGAUUUUUAAGAGGCCGGGGAGUUGUUAAGCGCCUGUGAACUGCAGUAAAAGGCAAGCCAGACCAUGGCCAGAUGUAGCCACAGCCUCGCCCACCUGCUGGAGGGACGCAACGAGCGCGGGAUGAGUGUCCUUGCUGACUGACAGAUACAUUUCCUUCGUCCUCCGGAGUCGACAGGCCCUCCCUCCGUCAGUCGCAGCGCCCCCCAGCUGAAGGGAGUCGCGCACACGGUGAUGGAAGGGGUAGAGGAUGGCGGGGUGUGGGGUAAGGGAGACAAUUAGUCCACGUUCGGAGACAGGUUCUUUCCCUUAGACCGGCCAUACUGUGCAGUUAAAGACUGGAGAUGUCAGCGGCCGCGUCUUUCCCUCACCCCGCCACCGACGUUUGUUAGUUGAUGUCAGUCAAUGAGUGAAUAGCAUUAUUCCCACCAGAUAUACCCACUCAUCUACUAACUAAACAUGAUCGCUUCUUCCUUCUCGUCUCGAUCUUCAGCCAGCUUUAUAUCUCCUCCCUCUCUUUGAAGUCACGCCGUUACUUCUCUACUGUGCGAAGUUUUCUUACUCUAAAGCUCAGAAUGCUGUGUCCUGUAGACUACAGAGCAUUAAAGUGUUCGGCACUGUCCAAGCUGACCUCGCGCCACUCCUCUCGGCUGCUGACCUCGGCAUCACCUCCAUUCCUCAAUUCCUGACCCCGGCAGCUCCAUCACAACACUCGUCUGCAGCAGAGAGAUAGAACAGCCAAGUAUACCUCUGUGCAAAUCACUAAACCUGGACUAGGGCAGGCCAUGUUUCCAAAACAGUCAACCUUGGAUCGUGACCAUGGCAACGGACACACUCUAGUAGCGGCGCAAACGAUGAAUCAAUAAGCGGCGCUUUCAAGCCUUCAAAACCUCUUAUGCUCCGGAGAAGCAGAAAUUGACUGAAACACCGGGGAGCAGGUGAAAACAGUCGAUGCUGCAUUCACUGUACGAAUUUUUCUUUUUAAAUAAAUGCUUCUUCUGGGGACUGAGGU
Molecule: long non-coding RNA, 1802 nt
Filed under: Pomacea canaliculata
Lineage: Eukaryota; Metazoa; Mollusca; Gastropoda; Architaenioglossa; Ampullariidae
Description: uncharacterized LOC112564332, transcript variant X1
Source: RNAcentral